CCUACGGGGGACAGCAGUGGGGAAUAUUGGGCAAUGGGCGCAAGCCUGACCCAGCAACGCCGCGUGAAGGAAGAAGGCUUUCGGGUUGUAAACUUCUUUUGUCAGGGAAGAGUAGAAGACGGUACCUGACGAAUAAGCCACGGCUAACUACGUGCCAGCAGCUGCGGUAAUACGUAGGUGGCAGGCGUUGUCCGGAUUUACUGGGUGUAAAGGGCGUGUAGCCGGGUUGACAAGUCAGAUGUGAAAUCCUGCGGCUUAACCGCAGAACUGCAUUUGAAACUGUUGAUCUUGAGUACUGGAGAGGCAGACGGAAUUCCUAGUGUAGCGGUGAAAUGCGUAGAUAUUAGGAGGAACACCAGUGGCGAAGGCGGUCUGCUGGACAGCAACUGACGGUGAGGCGCGAAAGCGUGGGGAGCAAACAGGAUUAGAUACCCCAGUAGUC
This 442-nucleotide ribosomal RNA is filed under the name uncultured bacterium. RNAcentral describes it as "partial 16S ribosomal RNA". It matches the Rfam family "Bacterial small subunit ribosomal RNA", at positions 338 to 795 of the family's 1533-position model. The record is from RNAcentral.